Molecule: ribosomal RNA, 433 nt
Filed under: uncultured bacterium
Lineage: Bacteria
Description: partial 16S ribosomal RNA
Rfam family: Bacterial small subunit ribosomal RNA
Source: RNAcentral
AACGAACGCUGGCGGCAGGCCUAACACAUGCAAGUCGAGCGGACCCUUCGGGGUUAGCGGCGGACGGGUGAGUAACGCGUGGGAAUAUGCCCUUCUCUACGGAAUAGUCCUGGGAAACUGGGGGUAAUACCGUAUACGCCCUUUGGGGGAAAGAUUUAUCGGGGAAGGAUUGGCCCGCGUUGGAUUAGGUAGUUGGUGGGGUAAUGGCCUACCAAGCCGACGAUCCAUAGCUGGUUUGAGAGGAUGAUCAGCCACACUGGGACCGAGACACGGCCCAGACUCCUACGGGAGGCAGCAGUGGGGAAUCUUAGACAAUGGGGGCAACCCUGAUCUAGCCAUGCCGCGUGAGUGAUGAAGGCCUUAGGGUUGUAAAGCUCUUUCAGCUGGGAAGAUAAUGACGGUACCAGCAGAAGAAGCCCCGGCUAACUCCGUG